CGGUCGAUAGCUCAGUUGAUCUAGCGGAGGAGUGUAGAGUUGCAGCAUUCCUCAGGUCGCUGGUUCGAAUCCAGCUCGACGGA
Molecule: non-coding RNA, 83 nt
Organism: Angiostrongylus costaricensis
Lineage: Eukaryota; Metazoa; Nematoda; Chromadorea; Rhabditida; Metastrongylidae
Source: Rfam